UAGAGACCCCUGUAGUCCUAGCCGUAAACUUUGCUCGCUAGGGGUUAGAAUUUAUUUUCUGGCCCCGUAAGCUAACGCGUUAAGCGAGCCGCCUGGGGAGUACGACCGCAAGGUUAAAACUCAAAGGAAUUGACGGGGACCCGCACAACCAGUGGAGCAUGUGGUUUAAUUCGAGACGAAACGAAGAACCUUACCAAGCCUUGACAUACUACCGUUUAUGCAUCCAGAAAUGGGAGCAAAUCUAUAGAAAUAUCGAUGGUAGAACAGGUGUUGCAUGGCCGUCGUCAGCUCGUGCCGUAGGGUGUUCCCUUCAGUGGGGUAACGAGCGCAACCCUUGCCCUGAGUUGAAUAUUCUCAGGGGACUUCUUAAAUUUAUUUUAGGAGGAAGUGAGGACGACGUCAGGUCAGCAUGGCCCUUAUAGCUUGGGCUACACACAUGCUACAAUGGAGCCGACAGAGGGUAUAGCCAAGUCGCAAGACGGAGCUAAUCCCAGAAACGGCUUCUCAGUGGGGAUUGGGGGCUGCAAUUCGCCCCCAUGAACGCGGAAUUGGUAGUAAUCGCGAAUCAGCUACGUCGCGGUGAAUACGUUCUCGGGUCUUGUACACACCGCCGAAAUUUAAUUAAAGCGCGUGGCAGUUAUUUUUUCUAAGUGGUUUAAAUCCAUUCUCCGACUUCUUGUCGGAGUAGCCAAAAAAUUUUGACAGUCCUAUCAGGGUAACCGGGUAGGGCGGAGGGUCUGAGGCAAAGAGCAGGGAUGAAUUAAAAAAAGGUAGACGACUUUUGCAGGGCGGUCCUAAGGAAGUCAAUCGCAAACGCCUUUCAUUCAUGUUUGGAACAGAAAAUUUAAUAACCCACGGAGAUCCUAUCAGGAUUGAAGUAAUUGCCUGUUAGGAAGUCAGCUUAUCCGUAGUAGUACUAAUAUAUAAUUAGUAUGAAGGGAUAUCCGUAAUGAUCACGCCAGAUUAUAUAGUUGGUAUGACUGAUGGAGAGGGAUGUUUUCUUGUUAGUUUGAGACGCGAUAAUAGAAUCGAUCUUCGAUUUUUUAUCGUUCAAGCUAUUGGAAACAGAUCACUUCUUGAAAGUAUACAGAAAUUUUUUAAUGUAGGCACUGUUUAUCAAAAAGCAGAUCGUUCAGGACGACUGCCUGCCUGUAUCUUUGAAGUAACCAAAAGAGAUGACAUAUAUAAUGUUAUUAUUCCUUUCUUUAAAGAACAUAAACCGAUGGGGAUAAAAGCAAUUUCAUUUUCAGUUUUUGAAGAAAUUGACCGAAUCGUCAAAGGAAGACAGGAUAAACGGAAACUUACGUCUAAAGAAUUAGAGUACGUUACCAAUUUAAGAUCAGGUAUGAACAAACAUUAUGGCUCGCCCGGUGCGGUAAAGUCCGCUCGCCGAGGUGGGAACACGAAAUAACUUCAAAAUUAUCGUAAUCCGUCAAGUCAAUAAAGUUGGAAAUACCUUAAGCCCCGUUGUACGGGGCCAAGGUAGAGCCAGCGAUAGGGACUAAGUCGUAACAAGGUAUCCGUACUGGAAGGUGCGGAUGGAUCACCUCCUU
This 1553-nucleotide ribosomal RNA is filed under the name Candidatus Woesebacteria bacterium GW2011_GWA1_44_23. Its description in RNAcentral is "bacterial SSU rRNA". The stretch from base 1 to 666 matches the Rfam family "Bacterial small subunit ribosomal RNA", at positions 779 to 1533 of the family's 1533-position model. The record is from RNAcentral. Lineage: Bacteria; Candidatus Woeseibacteriota.